GACGAACGCUGGCGGCGUGCUUAACACAUGCAAGUCGAACGGAAAGGCCCUGCUUUUGUGGGGUGCUCGAGUGGCGAACGGGUGAGUAACACGUGAGUAACCUGCCCUUGACUUUGGGAUAACUUCAGGAAACUGGGGCUAAUACCGGAUAGGAGCUCCUGCUGCAUGGUGGGGGUUGGAAAGUUUCGGCGGUUGGGGAUGGACUCGCGGCUUAUCAGCUUGUUGGUGGGGUAGUGGCCUACCAAGGCUUUGACGGGUAGCCGGCCUGAGAGGGUGACCGGCCACAUUGGGACUGAGAUACGGCCCAGACUCCUACGGGAGGCAGCAGUGGGGAAUAUUGCACAAUGGGCGGAAGCCUGAUGCAGCAACGCCGCGUGCGGGAUGACGGCCUUCGGAUUGUAAACCGCUUUCGCCUGUGACGAAGCGUGAGUGACGGUAAUGGGUAAAGAAGCACCGGCUAACUACGUG
RNAcentral lists this ribosomal RNA (468 nucleotides) under uncultured bacterium. RNAcentral describes it as "partial 16S ribosomal RNA". It matches the Rfam family "Bacterial small subunit ribosomal RNA", at positions 28 to 507 of the family's 1533-position model. The record is from RNAcentral.